CCUACGGGAGGCAGCAGUGAGGAAUAUUGGUCAAUGGGCUUACGCCUGAACCAGCCAAGUCGCGUGAGGGAAGACUGCCCUAUGGGUUGUAAACCUCUUUUGUCAGGGAGCAACGCCGGCUACGUGUAGCCGGACUGAGAGUACCUGAAGAAAAAGCAUCGGCUAACUCCGUGCCAGCAGCCGCGGUAAUACGAAGUAUGCGAGCGUUAUCCGGAUUUAUGGGGUUUAAAGGGUGCGUAGGCGGAAUGCCAAGUCAGCGGUAAAAUCGCGGGGCUCAACCUCGCUCCGCCGUUGAAACUGGCGUUCUUGAGUGGGCGAGAGGUAUGCGGAAUGCGUGGUGUAGCGGUGAAAUGCAUAGAGAUCACGCAGAACUCCGAUUGCGAAGGCAGCAUACCGGCGCCCAACUGACGCUGAAGCACGAAAGCGUGGGUAUCGAACAGGAUUAGAUACCCUUGUAGUC
Molecule: ribosomal RNA, 460 nt
Filed under: uncultured bacterium
Lineage: Bacteria
Description: partial 16S ribosomal RNA
Rfam family: Bacterial small subunit ribosomal RNA
Source: RNAcentral